RNAcentral lists this ribosomal RNA (1340 nucleotides) under Chryseobacterium sp. RNAcentral describes it as "bacterial SSU rRNA". It matches the Rfam family "Bacterial small subunit ribosomal RNA", at positions 98 to 1445 of the family's 1533-position model. The record is from RNAcentral. Lineage: Bacteria; Pseudomonadati; Bacteroidota; Flavobacteriia; Flavobacteriales; Weeksellaceae.
GCGUACGGGUGCGGAACACGUGUGCAACCUGCCUUUAUCAGGGGGAUAGCCUUUCGAAAGGAAGAUUAAUACCCCAUAAUAUAUUGAGUGGCAUCACUUGAUAUUGAAAACUCCGGUGGAUAGAGAUGGGCACGCGCAAGAUUAGAUAGUUGGUGAGGUAACGGCUCACCAAGUCUGCGAUCUUUAGGGGGCCUGAGAGGGUGAUCCCCCACACUGGUACUGAGACACGGACCAGACUCCUACGGGAGGCAGCAGUGAGGAAUAUUGGACAAUGGGUGCGAGCCUGAUCCAGCCAUCCCGCGUGAAGGAUGACGGCCCUAUGGGUUGUAAACUUCUUUUGUAUAGGGAUAAACCUACCCUCGUGAGGGUAGCUGAAGGUACUAUACGAAUAAGCACCGGCUAACUCCGUGCCAGCAGCCGCGGUAAUACGGAGGGUGCAAGCGUUAUCCGGAUUUAUUGGGUUUAAAGGGUCCGUAGGCGGAUCUGUAAGUCAGUGGUGAAAUCUCACAGCUUAACUGUGAAACUGCCAUUGAUACUGCAGGUCUUGAGUGUUGUUGAAGUAGCUGGAAUAAGUAGUGUAGCGGUGAAAUGCAUAGAUAUUACUUAGAACACCAAUUGCGAAGGCAGGUUACUAAGCAACAACUGACGCUGAUGGACGAAAGCGUGGGGAGCGAACAGGAUUAGAUACCCUGGUAGUCCACGCCGUAAACGAUGCUAACUCGUUUUUGGUAUUUCGGUAUCAGAGACUAAGCGAAAGUGAUAAGUUAGCCACCUGGGGAGUACGAACGCAAGUUUGAAACUCAAAGGAAUUGACGGGGGCCCGCACAAGCGGUGGAUUAUGUGGUUUAAUUCGAUGAUACGCGAGGAACCUUACCAAGGCUUAAAUGGGAAAUGACAGGCUUAGAAAUAGGCUUUUCUUCGGACAUUUUUCAAGGUGCUGCAUGGUUGUCGUCAGCUCGUGCCGUGAGGUGUUAGGUUAAGUCCUGCAACGAGCGCAACCCCUGUCACUAGUUGCCAUCAUUAAGUUGGGGACUCUAGUGAGACUGCCUACGCAAGUAGAGAGGAAGGUGGGGAUGACGUCAAAUCAUCACGGCCCUUACGCCUUGGGCCACACACGUAAUACAAUGGCCGGUACAGAGGGCAGCUACACAGCGAAGUGAUGCAAAUCUCGAAAGCCGGUCUCAGUUCGGAUUGGAGUCUGCAACUCGACUCUAUGAAGCUGGAAUCGCUAGUAAUCGCGCAUCAGCCAUGGCGCGGUGAAUACGUUCCCGGGCCUUGUACACACCGCCCGUCAAGCCAUGGAAGUCUGGGGUACCUGAAGUCGGUGACCGUAACAGGAG